GUUCACUUAGCAUGCGUGCUUUUCUCUCCCAACCUGAGGCAUUUGUUAUACAAACGGAAGCAAAUGGGCAUGAUCAAGGGCAAAGGACCAGACAUCACAACACACCGAACUCCAUUCACUAAGGUGGUGAGGCCUGGUACUCACCAGGAAACGAGGUCGAGGAAGGAUCGGAAGAAGCAAUGCAUUCUGCCAAUGGGUAGCUACUCAGCUCAUCUGGUCAAGUCCUUAUUCCAGGUGUGACAGUUCUUAGAAACCACAUCCAAUAAAGUUUUAUUUUGAUGAGCA
Long non-coding RNA from Echinops telfairi (small Madagascar hedgehog), 285 nucleotides. RefSeq lists it as uncharacterized. The record is from RefSeq and is a predicted model, not a curated record. The transcript is spliced from 2 exons. NCBI's taxonomy places the organism in Eukaryota, Metazoa, Chordata, Mammalia, Afrosoricida, Tenrecidae.